This 253-nucleotide ribosomal RNA is filed under the name uncultured bacterium. RNAcentral describes it as "partial 16S ribosomal RNA". It matches the Rfam family "Bacterial small subunit ribosomal RNA", at positions 524 to 776 of the family's 1533-position model. The record is from RNAcentral.
UACAGAGGUCUCAAGCGUUGUUCGGAUUCAUUGGGCGUAAAGGGUGCGUAGGUGGCGCUGUAAGUCGGGUGUGAAAUUUCGGAGCUUAACUCCGAAACUGCAUUCGAUACUGCGGUGCUUGAGGACUGGAGAGGAGACUGGAAUUCAUGGUGUAGCAGUGAAAUGCGUAGAUAUUCGCAAGAACACCAGUGGCGAAGGCGGCUCACUGGCCAGAUACUGACGCUGAGGCACGAAAGCGUGGGGAGCAAACAGG